RNAcentral lists this long non-coding RNA (902 nucleotides) under Gossypium barbadense (sea-island cotton). RNAcentral describes it as "long non-coding RNA (GBAR_LNC003505)". The record is from RNAcentral. Lineage: Eukaryota; Viridiplantae; Streptophyta; Magnoliopsida; Malvales; Malvaceae.
UCAUGUCAAAUGACUUAAUUUUCUAACUGAUAGCUAAGUAAGUAGGUUUAACCAAAAUUUCAUGAGCUCAGAUUUUCUUUAGAUCAGGGCUUGCUAGUUUUAGCACCAGCUUAAUUUAUUGGCAGUAAAACAAUUGUCUCUCUAGGUUUGAGGUUUGUUAUAAGGAGACAUAGAAUUGUGAGUCAAAAGUUAGAUAAUCUAAACGGGGUGUCAUUUGGACCCAAAACCCCUUAGCCCGAUUUACAAAUAGCCCAAAGGGACCUAACAAUUUGAAAAUUCUAGAAACCUUAGAGGUUUCUGGAACAUGCUAGGGCCACAGCCAACCGCUCCCACGAGUGGUCUUUCACAAACGGCCUCGCCACGUCUGCAAUGAUUUCCAGCGCAACACUGCCACGUCCACAGCCCCACGCUUCCGUACGGCCUUAGAACUUGUGAGAAUAAGCAGUAGAAACAGUACCAAUAACAGAAAUAGGUCAGCAAAUGUAUAGAAAAAUCGUGAUUUAUAUUUUUUAUUUUAUUCUGUAAAUUGGCUAAAAAAGGCCGAGAGAAUCAGUGUAAAUUGAUUACGCAUGCAAAUCGAAUACAAAGAAAUCAAUCAAACUUUUUAAAGGUGAUUUCUGAUUUAAGUUUCUUUAAGUUUUUGAGUUUUCUUUCGGUUUAUUUCUUGAGGUCUUUCGUUAUUGCAUUUGAAAACAAAAAAAAGGAGUCUUACCUUACGAAGUUGCCAUGGAUUCCGAAAGGGGAUCUCGAGGCUAAAAAACAUCCCUCAAAGCUUGAAGGCACUGGUAGCCGUUUAUGGAGGUAGAUCGGUGUUUGAAGGAAGGGAUUUAGGGUCUGCUAGUUGAAAAGAAAGGGGGCUAGGGUUGGUUCGGCCGAAUAGAUUUAUUUGGCUUGGUUUUAGC